CGCGUAGACGGCUUUUUAAGUCUGGAGUGAAAGUCCUGCUUUCAAGGUGGGAAUUGCUUUGGAGACUGGAAAGCUUGAGUGCGGAAGAGGUAAGUGGAAUUCCCAGUGUAGCGGUGAAAUGCGUAGAGAUUGGGAAGAACACCAGUGGCGAAGGCGACUUACUGGGCCGUAACUGACGUUGAUGCGCGAAAGCGUGGGGAGCGAACA
RNAcentral lists this ribosomal RNA (207 nucleotides) under uncultured bacterium. RNAcentral's name for it is "partial 16S ribosomal RNA". It matches the Rfam family "Bacterial small subunit ribosomal RNA", at positions 568 to 774 of the family's 1533-position model. The record is from RNAcentral.